AGAAUCAACGCUGGCGGCGUGCCUAAUACAUGCAAGUCGAACGCCAAAGCCCCGCAAGGGGCAAGUAGCGUGGCAAACGGGUGAGUAACGCGUGGGCGACCUGCCUUCGAGUGGGGGAUAACCUUCCGAAAGGAGGGCUAAUACCGCAUGAUAUGCCGUGUUUGGAUACACGGACAUCAAAGCUGGGGAUCGCAAGACCUGGCGCUUGAAGAGGGGCCUACGUCCGAUUAGCUAGUUGGUGGGGUAACGGCCUACCAAGGCGACGAUCGGUAUCCGG
Molecule: ribosomal RNA, 277 nt
Filed under: uncultured soil bacterium
Lineage: Bacteria
Description: partial 16S ribosomal RNA
Rfam family: Bacterial small subunit ribosomal RNA
Source: RNAcentral